AGAAGGGGCACCCUUGCACAUUCAUGUGCAUGAGCAGAGGAUGGGGGAGCCUGUCUGCACAAUGCUCUGAAGCGGACUAGUUCCUGCUGGGUUAAUUUUCAUAUCUCAAGUAACUUUUUCUCUUUUUCAUUCACCCUUUAUUUUUGAUCAAUGAAUUAUACAGGCCUAUUUCAGGUAAAAGUUAUUAAUAAGCCACACAGUUUAAAUCAAGUAUGGGGAAGGAGAAGAAUUUGUGAAGCUCAGUAUAUAAGUCCCUGAGGCACUUGGAGACCUGAUAGCUUAUGCAGUAUUAGAAGCAAGUUAUGAGGGAACUAUAAAGUGGGUUAUUUAACACCCCUGCCAUCCAUGAUGGGUGAACUUGUUUGGUUUUCUGUUCAACAAUGUAUGUGUGGGUGUGCGUGCAUGCGUGUGUAAAUGAGUUAGGUAAACGCCUAUUUAGGAAAAAUAAGCUAGCUCUCUACUUAACACUAAAAACAAAGACAAAUUCCAAGCAAGAUCACAUUGUGAACAUUUUUUUUUCUCUCUUUCUCCGUUUUUCUUUUCUUGUCUUGUCUUUCCGAGACAGGGUCUCUCUGUUCGCCCUGGCUGCCCUGGAUCUCAGCCUCUAGAUCCUCCUGCCUCUGCCUCCCAAGUGCUGGAAUUAAACCAUCACUGCCUAGCAACCACCACUCUCAUAAAGGAAAGCAUUUAAUUUGGGGCUGGCUUACAGUUCAGAGGUUUAGUCCUUUAUUGUCCUGGUAGGAAACACGGUGCUAGAAAGGUAGCUGAGAGUUCUGCAUCUGGAUCAGCAGGUAGC
Molecule: long non-coding RNA, 796 nt
Filed under: Mus musculus (house mouse)
Lineage: Eukaryota; Metazoa; Chordata; Mammalia; Rodentia; Muridae
Description: long non-coding RNA chr5:110226691-110227487
Source: RNAcentral